Molecule: ribosomal RNA, 301 nt
Filed under: uncultured bacterium
Lineage: Bacteria
Description: partial 16S ribosomal RNA
Rfam family: Bacterial small subunit ribosomal RNA
Source: RNAcentral
CAGCCGCCGCGGGAAUACGCAGGUGGCAAGCGUUGUCCGGAAUUAUUGGGCGUAAAGGGAGCGUAGACGGUUAAACAAGUCUGAAGUGAAAUGCCGGGGCUCAACCCCGGAGCUGCUUUGGGAACUGUAGAACUGGAGUGUCGGAGGGGUAAGCGGAAUUCCCAGUGUAGCGGUGAAAUGCGUAGAUAUUGGGAGGAACACCGGCGGCGAAGGCGGCUUACUGGACGACAACUGACGUUGAGGCUCGAAGGCGUGGGUAGCAAACAGGAUUAGAUACCCGUGUAGUCCCUGUCUCUUAUAC